AGUUCCGUGGUGUAUAACAUUUCGGAUUGCAAAUCCGAAGAAGCAGGUUAAUGACCCGCCGGGACUU
Molecule: transfer RNA, 67 nt
Filed under: Glyptothorax laosensis
Lineage: Eukaryota; Metazoa; Chordata; Actinopteri; Siluriformes; Sisoridae
Description: tRNA-Cys
Rfam family: tRNA
About the family: Transfer RNA (tRNA) molecules are approximately 80 nucleotides in length. Their secondary structure includes four short double-helical elements and three loops (D, anti-codon, and T loops). Further hydrogen bonds mediate the characteristic L-shaped molecular structure. tRNAs have two regions of fundamental functional importance: the anti-codon, which is responsible for specific mRNA codon recognition, and the 3' end, to which the tRNAs corresponding amino acid is attached (by aminoacyl-tRNA synthetases). tRNAs cope with the degeneracy of the genetic code in two manners: having more than one tRNA (with a specific anti-codon) for a particular amino acid; and 'wobble' base-pairing, i.e. permitting non-standard base-pairing at the 3rd anti-codon position.
Source: RNAcentral